RNAcentral lists this long non-coding RNA (3529 nucleotides) under Nicotiana tabacum (common tobacco). RNAcentral describes it as "long non-coding RNA (NTAB_LNC005168)". Lineage: Eukaryota; Viridiplantae; Streptophyta; Magnoliopsida; Solanales; Solanaceae. The record is from RNAcentral.
ACGAACCUGCUCGAGGCCUCAAAUCAUACCAAACAACACCAAAACCAUGAAUCGGCGAUCAAAUCUUCCUUUUAACCUUGAAACAUUCAAACUUCGACGAACGCGUCCGAAUUACACUUAAACAUUCGGGAAUGACGCCAAACUUUAUGUACAAGUCAUAAAUCACGAUACGAACCUAUUCUAAAGCUCAGAACCCCAAACUAACAUUGAUAACACCAAAGUCCACUUCAAACCAAAUAUAGGAAAUUCUAAAACCUUCGAAUUGCCUACUUUCCACAAUAAGAACUAAAAUGCUCCCGGACCACCCGAUACUCAACCCGAACAUACGCCCAAGUCCGAAAUCAUCAUAUAAACCUAUUGGAACCUUCAAAUCUUGAUUCUGAGGUCGUUUACUCAAAAGUGAAACUUUGGUCAACUCUUCCAACUUAAAGCUUCCGAAUUCAGAAUUUUCCAUCCGAAUGAACCCCGAAUCUCCCGAAAUUUAAUUCCAACCACACGUACAAGUCAUAAAACAUGAAGUGAAGCUACUCAAAGUCUCAUCUGCAGAACGAACUACUAGAGCUUAAAAUGACCAAUCAGAUCGUUACAUUGUGGAUGUUGCAUUCCUGCCUGCAGGUGUAGGUAAUCAGCUUGAUGAGCCCUUAUAGUAGACGAGGUUAGCUUUCAAUGAAGGAUCAGUAAGACGCUACUUUAUUCGGAGUGCAGCCAAGUCUAUAAGUCAUCGUGCCAUAUAUUUUAUAUAGACUUAUGGGUAGGCUGAGCCCUUUCCCGACCAUGUUUCGAUGUCAAAUACUCUUAGAGGCUUUGUAAACACAGGUUCAUUAUGUACAGUAUGUCAGAGGCCUUGAAAACUCGUGUGUAUUCAUGUUUUGAGUAUGAUGGCUUGUUGAUACAACGUUUGCCCACUUAUAGUUAUAUAUUACCAUUUGUGGCCGUGUUGGCCGAUGAUAGUUAUAGAAAGAAUGAGUUCGGCCAAGGCGUCCUAUGUAUGUUCUAGUUUUCGUCAAACAAUCAUGACUUAUAGAGUUGUUUGCUCGGGCCAGUACGACAUCAAAUGCCAGCUACGCCUCCCCAAGUUUGGGGAGUGACACAAAUAGUGUAAUUUUCAUUUCAGACAUUGCAUUAAGUAAUACCAGUUUUGGGAGGUUUUAGAUGAAUGUUGGGUUUAGUCUUGUUAUACAUUACUGAGCUUUACCCUUUAUUGUGAUAUCAAGUCGUUUUAAGCCUAGAUUUGUUCCAUUUUUUCAAUUAAGUGUUGGCAUGCCUAGCAAGUUGUGUUAAGCGCCAUCAUAUCCUUUCGUUGGGAAUUUCGGGUCAUGACAGAUACAGAUUGGUUACAGGCCUUGAUACACGAUUUGACAUGUUAAGCCCAGAAGCGACGAGGUCUUCUGCCCAUGAAAGGAUAGCAAUUAGCAAACAAUACAAUGCAUGGGAGCCAAGGACAGGCCCAUAAGAGGGUCAACUUAGCCCGAAAAUACACUAACACCAUUGACAUCUAGACCAAACCUCUAAGCUAUACAAGCAGCUUAGAUAAUAUGCAUAUUCAAGGCUUAUAAGCAUAUUUUCUAGUGCAAAGGACAUUAUAACGGAGUGCGAGAAAAGUAAGAUCUGAACGUGUAUGAUUACUAAUUUCCAAACAAAAAUAAACAAUCACACCUCAAUAAACAACCAUGGCACAUAACUCAUUGCUUUUUAGGAGAAGCCAGAAGGUAGUUAAGUGUAGAUUUGACAUAGGGGAUCCAUAUAGGCAAGUUAUCUAGUGCACAAACAUAGGCUAAAUUUAAAGAUACCAAGGCCAACUGGGCAACAGGUUCCUAUAGACAAGAUUUCUAACAUCAAGAGAUUCGUACAGUUGUUAAUUCAUAGUGAUCAAUGCACAGUCAUACAGAGGUUAGCAUAGAGUUCUUGAGGACUGUGUUCUAUGAAAGAUUACUCAAAACAGGUUGAUCAAAUGCAGAUAAAAUGAAACAUAUUUUCGAUUGAAUAUGAAGAUGCUCAGACAGUACAAGCUGACAUACAUGACCUUAAGAGGUAUGCUCUCUAUGGAAUUCAAAGUAAGAUACUUAGACAAACCAAUCAAGUGCAUAAAAAAAAUCUUGUUAACAUGGUUUCUACUCUUCUAGAACAGGAAUAACAGUAAGAUGGGAUCUCUUACCUUCCUUGAUAAAGAAAAUUACAGAUAAAUCAGAGUAAACAUACUAGGACCCAUACACAUGCUUUCACAACACGAUAUGGGAAUUCCUAAAGACAUGAUUUCUAAGGAGGAGCAAGUAUUAUGUUGUACAGAUGUAUUAUUGAUGAAAAUGAUUAGGUUAUUUAACUAAGGAUUUUCUUAACAUGAACAUGCUUCAAUGCACACUGAGACUUAAUAAUUGAAACAAAACAUAGAAGUCAAGUGACAUAGCAGACAAGGAUUGAAGGUUAACUUACAGACAUGCUACUAUGUUUUAGAAGUUAACAGGGAGCCAUUUUAAUAGUAAGAAGCAAAAGAACUUUCAAGUAAAAAGGUAUGCGAAUACAGGAGAAAGAAUCAUCGUAAUUCUUAUACAUGCCAACUAUUUAGACAACCUUUGAGUCAGAACUAAAACCCAAACAAAAGAUGUCUAUGAACAUGAUUUUUGUGUAGCAAACACACCAACAUAAUUUCACAGAGAAUAAAUGAGGCAUCUAGAGUUACCACACAUAGAGAAUAAAAGGCAUGUAAGAGUACUAACCAGUAUAGAAGAGUAAUGAUAAUAAACAAGAAAACCAGAAAUUUCAUAAUCUGAAAUAAGCAACAUAAAGAUUGCCUCAGUCACCAACGAAACUCUAAGUUCUCCGGUGCUUCAAAGUUCACGAGAGCCUCGUAGGGGCUCCGAGCAAUACUUGUAUCGGAGAAGGUUAAUGAACAAGAUUCUGAAGGGCUUGGGUUUCAGCCAGCCAAACACAAACCAAGAACAAAGAUGAAAUCCAGAAAUACUUCAAGAACUAAUAGAGAAUCUUCUGACAUAACCACAAUAAAUAAGAGAAAUGACAGGGUGUGAGAGUGAGAGAGAUGUGAUUGAUGUCUGCCUCUAACCGUGAUUGUCUGCCUCUAAUUCGAUUUGGAUUCAGUUUGCAUAUGAUUGUCUUAUUUCCUUAGGGAAAAAAUAUGCAAUCACGGUUUUGAAAUAACAAUCGAGAUACGAGACUGACUGAGCAAUCAGUCCAUAAAGGAAGAAAAUAUCCCUUUCAAAUUUACCUAGUCCAGAUUAGGAGUUGAUUCGACUUGAAUCUCGAAAGAUUCUCUUACGAUUUAGCCAAAUACCAUAAAUAAAUCAGUACCUAAGAACGUGUGCCAGAAAUAGUAAAGAAUCGAUUAUUAGAACAAGAAAAGGAAAGGAAAAAUUGAGGGUUCUCAUGUCGACUAGGGUUUUAGGGCAUUAGGGUUAGAUGAGAGAAGAGAGCAGGACAUAAGUGGGAUUAGAGUUAGGGGUGUUAAUGAAGUUUAUAUUUGAAAGGGAAGGGGAGAUUGAAGUCAUUGGAUCUACGAGAUAAAUGGAUAUGAUCG